UACGUAGGGAGCGAGCGUUGUCCGAAGUUACUGGGCGUAAAGCGCGCGUAGGCGGGCCAUUAAGUGAGAGGUGAAAUUCCAGGGCUCAACCCCGGAACUGCCUCUCAUACUGUUGGUCUUGAGUGAGGUAGAGAGAAGUGGAAUGGCUGGUGUAGCGGUGAAAUGCGUAGAUAUCAGUCGGAACACCGGUGGCGAAGGCGGCUUCUUGGGCCUUUACUGACGCUGAGGCGCGAAAGCCAGGGGAGCGAACGGG
Molecule: ribosomal RNA, 253 nt
Filed under: uncultured bacterium
Lineage: Bacteria
Description: partial 16S ribosomal RNA
Rfam family: Bacterial small subunit ribosomal RNA
Source: RNAcentral